AAUAGGAGAAUGACAAAUCAAAUUUUUCCUCUUGAUUUUUAGCUUUUUCCUCGUGAAAAAUUCAAAUCCAACUGAAAAUAUUAAAAAUUAGAAAGAAAAAAUCUGAUUUAUCAUUCUUUCUAUU
Non-coding RNA from Gossypium raimondii (Peruvian cotton), 124 nucleotides. NCBI's taxonomy places the organism in Eukaryota, Viridiplantae, Streptophyta, Magnoliopsida, Malvales, Malvaceae. The record is from Rfam.